AGAGAUGCAUUGGGCAUAAAGCGUGCGCAGGCGGUUUUGUAAGACAGAGGUGAAAUCCCCGGGCUCAACCUGGGAACUGCCUUUGUGACUGCAAGGCUGGAGUGCGGCAGAGGGGGAUGGAAUUCCGCGUGUAGCAGUGAAAUGCGUAGAUAUGCGGAGGAACACCGAUGGCGAGGGCAAUCCCCUGGGCCUGCACUGACGCUCAUGCACGAAAGCGUGGGGAGCAAACA
This 230-nucleotide ribosomal RNA is filed under the name uncultured Alicycliphilus sp. RNAcentral describes it as "partial 16S ribosomal RNA". It matches the Rfam family "Bacterial small subunit ribosomal RNA", at positions 548 to 774 of the family's 1533-position model. Lineage: Bacteria; Pseudomonadati; Pseudomonadota; Betaproteobacteria; Burkholderiales; Comamonadaceae. The record is from RNAcentral.